UUACUGGGGCGUAAGCGCACGCAGGCGGUCUGUUAAGUCAGAUGUGAAAUCCCCGGGCUUAACCUGGGAACUGCAUUUGAAACUGGCAGGCUUGAGUCUCGUAGAGGGGGGUAGAAUUCCAGGUGUAGCGGUGAAAUGCGUAGAGAUCUGGAGGAAUACCGGUGGCGAAGGCGGCCCCCUGGACGAAGACUGACGCUCAGGUGCGAAAGCGUGGGGAGCAAACAGGAUUAGAUACCCUGGUAGUCCACGCCGUAAACGAUGUCGACUUGGAGGUUGUGCCCUUGAGGCGUGGCUUCCGGAGCUAACGCGUUAAGUCGACCGCCUGGGGAGUACGGCCGCAAGGUUAAAACUCAAAUGAAUUGACGGGGGCCCGCACAAGCGGUGGAGCAUGUGGUUUAAUUCGAUGCAACGCGAAGAACCUUACCUGGCCUUGACAUCCAGAGAACUUAGCAGAGAUGCUUUGGUGCCUUCGGGAACUCUGAGACAGGUGCUGCAUGGCUGUCGUCAGCUCGUGUUGUGAAAUGUUGGGUUAAGUCCCGCAACGAGCGCAACCCUUAUCCUUUGUUGCCAGCGGCUCGGCCGGGAACUCAAAGGAGACUGCCGGUG
RNAcentral lists this ribosomal RNA (606 nucleotides) under Pantoea agglomerans. RNAcentral's name for it is "bacterial SSU rRNA". It matches the Rfam family "Bacterial small subunit ribosomal RNA", at positions 551 to 1157 of the family's 1533-position model. Lineage: Bacteria; Pseudomonadati; Pseudomonadota; Gammaproteobacteria; Enterobacterales; Erwiniaceae. The record is from RNAcentral.